UGCAUUCACUACUGUAAAUCGCUCUGGAUAAGAGCGUCUGCUGAAUGACUAAAA
This is a non-coding RNA of Salmo salar (Atlantic salmon), 54 nucleotides long. NCBI's taxonomy places the organism in Eukaryota, Metazoa, Chordata, Actinopteri, Salmoniformes, Salmonidae. The record is from Rfam.